Molecule: non-coding RNA, 3266 nt
Organism: Leucoraja erinaceus (little skate)
Lineage: Eukaryota; Metazoa; Chordata; Chondrichthyes; Rajiformes; Rajidae
Source: the annotation of a RefSeq genome assembly
CGCAGCGGUUGAGUUGCUGCUAUACACCCGGGUUCUAUCCUGGCCAUGUACAAGCUGUUGCACGACGUUUGUACGUUCUCCGUGACCUGUGUGUGUUUUCUCUGGGAGCUAUAGUUUCCUCCCACACCCUAAAGAUGUAUAGAUUUGUAGUUUAAUUGCUUUGGCAUGAUUGUAAAAUUGUCCCUAAUAUGUGUGGAUAUCUGCCCCCUGCUGGAUCGAAGGGCCUGUAUCUCCAAGUUAAAGUAUCUCUAAACGCUGUAUCUCUAAACUAAACUACACUAAACUAAACUAAACUAAAUUAAACUAAACAUAUAACCAUAUAACCAUAUAACAAUUACAGCACGGAAACAGGCCAUCUCGGCCCUACAAGUCCGUGCCGAACAACUUUUGUUUCCCUUAGUCCUACCUGCCUGCACUCAUACCAUAACCCUCCAUUCCCUUCUCAUCCAUAUGCCUAUCCAAUUUAUUUUUAAAUGAUACAAAUGAACCUGCCUCCACCACUUCCACUGCAAGCUCAUUCCACACCGCUACCACUCUCUGAGUAAAGAAGCCCCCCUCAUAUUACCCCUAAACUUCUGUCCCUUAAUUCUGAAGUCAUGUCCUCUUGUUUGAAUCUUCCCUAUUCUCAAAGGGAAAAGCUUGUCCACAUCAACUCUGUCUAUCCCUCUCAUCAUUUUAAAGACCUCUAGCAAGUCCUCCUUUAACCCUCUGCGCUCCAGAGAAUAAAGACCUAACUUAUUCAACCUAUCUCUGUAACUCUGUAACAUGGUUCUCCCUCGAUCAUAGGAACUGACGCUGUUUGCCGGCGCAUUCGAGAGUAUCAGUAUGACCACAAAUCAAAUUGGUGAAAUUACCGAUUAUAAAUUCGGUAUGGUAACGAAUUUCAGAUGUCUUUUCUCAGAAAUCCCCAUUGAAACGACUUACAUCGGGUCAUUUCCUUCAGCUGUGUGCGGAUGAAAGGCAAGUGUGGAUUAUAAGGCAUGCUCGCCCUCUGUUGGCCCGCCAUGGGAAUUUCGCUCCACCCAUCUCCGCCCUGCAACCGCACGUUCCGCCUCUCACGCAGUAUCCAAUCGAUGUCAUCUUAUGAUGCCCCGCCCAUUUCUCGCCUUUGGUUCUGUCGCUCUGUGAACAUGUCGUGCCUUUGUCUUUGGGAGCCAGCUGCAGCCGGUCGCUGGUUGGUCUUGGUUGGUUUUACAGAGUGUUAGUUUGGACAGAGUGUGUCAAAUGAUGAGCAGUUACAGAUUUAUACCUAGUAUUGUCGGACACCUCCUCCCGCUGUUCAUUACCAUGUCACUUCUCAAUUCGACACAUCAAAAUACAGUGGAACAAUCCGAAGCAGAAAUUACGUUCGAAGAGGGAAGGAAUGUCACACUAAGCUGUGCUCUGAAAACCAGUGAUACAACGCCUUAUGUUUACUGGUACAAACAGCGCCCAGCUCACUCUCCACACUACCUGCUUCAGGUUCUGGGAAAUAUUGUAUUAAGGAACCAGGGCGUGACCGAUCGCUUCUCUGCUACGUUCAAUAAAACUGCGAAGAUGACCGAGUUCAUGAUACGCGACCCCGUGAUGUCUGAUUCCGCCCUGUACAUCUGCGCCAUGAGACGCACACUGUUGCAGAAAUGCUGCAGGCUCGAACAAAAACCAACCCUCUGUGAUCCCCAUGAGCGUUCGCCAGCGAGCGCUCUUAAACAAAACGGAGACAUUUUGGAGAAAUAGGAAGGAAAAUGUAGAUUGGUUAUUUCCUACUAGCCAGUUACAAUUCUUCUUAGUAGUUACUCCGCGUAUUGUGUACUUUCGGUGUCAAAAUUGCAACUAUUUCCAUUCUACGGGUCGUCAGUUCUGUGUUGCUUAUGACAACGCCUGCAAAUUCUGCAAGAAGUUAAACCACUUUGCUCGGUGCUGUCGUUCCCGUGUGAAUCCAGCAGCUUCAAGGACGAGCCUGCACCUGCUACAACAUUGUUGAUAAUGACUUCCAAGAGCACCACAUCGCACCACGCCCAGAUCGAAAAAGAAUUGUUCGCAGUGGUUUUCGCCUGCACGAAAUUCGAUGACUUUAGGUGAUUAGUGGGGAAAAUGAGGGCACAUGGUAUUGGGGUAGAGUGUUGACAUGGAUAGAGAUUUGGUCGGCAGACAGGUAACACAGAGUAGGGAUUAACGGGUCCCUUUCAAAAUGGCAGGCAGUGACUAGUGGGAUAGCGCAAGGCUCGGUGCUGGGACCGCAACUAUUUACAACAUACAUCAAUGAUUUGGAUGAAUGGAUUCAAAGUAGCAUUAGCAAGUUUGCAGAUGACAAGAUCGCUGGGUGGCAGUGAGAACUGUGAGGAGGAUGCUAUGAGAAUGCAGGGUGACUUGGACAGGUUGGAGGAGUGGGCAGAUGCAUGGCAGAUGAAGUAUAAUGCGGAUAAAGGUGAGGUUAUCCACUUUGGCAACAAAAACAGGAAGGCAGAUUACUAUCUAAAUGGCGUCAAGUUGGGAAAAGGGGAAGUACAACCGGAUGUGUUAUUAAUAGUCCACCUAUAUUGCUUAGCCACUGGUGCUUCUUUUGUUUCUAAAGGAAAGAUGUAGAUUGGUUAUUUCCUACUAGCCAUUUAUAGUGCUUGUUAGUAGCGACUCCGCCUAGUAUGUGCUUGAUAUUAUCAAGUGCUUGCCUAGGCUAGUUGGUAUGAGUAGUUCCUUGGAAAUGUAAUGUCCGACAGAUCUAUGCUGUAAGUAGAUUUAAUAAACACGUGUGGUAUCUUGAUAUGUGUUCGACUCGGCUCAUUAUAGAAAGGGUACGUAUUCGCUUGGAAUAAAGUGUGCCAAAAAGCAGGAAGACUGGGAUUGUUUUCAAUAUGUGAAUUCGUGCGAACGCUGUUGUUCCCAAUGUUCAACAUCUUGAUAUUUUGAUGGGGAACUAUACCUUGUACGACUCGGAAAUGUUUUUGCAUUGACACGGACUCCGUUGCUGAUCUAUGUAAAUAUCUCUACAGUCUCCCACGGACUCUUGUAUAUUUCGAAACCCGCCUGCAUGGAGAGUGGAAGUAAGUACGACAGUAAGCAGGGAGAUCGUGAGAUGGAUAAUGUAUUUUGAUCAACACAUUGUGUCAGGAAUAAAGUUGAAGGACAAGACCAAACGCGAUCUCAGGACGGCAGCAAACGCACUUGACUAGAGUUCUAUCUCAAUUACACGGCUGACGGCUUCUGCUGACGUCAGCAAGACAAUCCAGAAAAUAACAUCAUCAACGGGACCACUGGGCACCGCGGGGGGUAGAAUGUUGGGGAUAUGG